Molecule: ribosomal RNA, 442 nt
Filed under: uncultured bacterium
Lineage: Bacteria
Description: partial 16S ribosomal RNA
Rfam family: Bacterial small subunit ribosomal RNA
Source: RNAcentral
CCUACGGGAGGCAGCAGUGGGGAAUAUUGGUCAAUGGGCGUAAGCCUGACCCAGCAACGCCGCGUGAAGGAAGAAGGCUUUCGGGUUUUAAACUUCUUUUUACAGGGAAGAGCAGAUGACGGUACCUGUCGAAUAAGCCACGGCUAACUACGGGCCAGCAGCCGCGGGAAUACGGAGGUGGCAAGCGUUGUCCGGAUUUACUGGGUGUAAAGGGCGUGUAGCUGGGAUGUCAAGUCAGAGGUGAAAUCCGGGGGCUCAACCCUAGAACUGCCGUUGAAACUGGUGGUCUUGAGUAUCGGAGAGGUAGGCGGAAUGCCUGGUGUAGCGGUGAAAUGCAUAGAUAUCACGAAGAACACCAGUGGCGAAGGCAGCUUGCUGGGCGAUAACUGACGCUGAGGCGCGAAAGCGUGGGGAGCAAACAGGAUUAGAUACCCCAGUAGUC